GUGGGGAAUCUUAGACAAUGGGCGCAAGCCUGAUCUAGCCAUGCCGCGUGAUCGAUGAAGGCCUUAGGGUUGUAAAGAUCUUUCAGUGGGGAAGAUAAUGACUGUACCCACAGAAGAAGCCCCGGCUAACUCCGUGCCAGCAGCCGCGGUAAUACGGAGGGGGCUAGCGUUGUUCGGAAUUACUGGGCGUAAAGCGCACGUAGGCGGAUCAGAAAGUCAGAGGUGAAAUCCCAGGGCUCAACCUUGGAACUGCCUUUGAAACUCCUGAUCUUGAGGUCGAGAGAGGUGAGUGGAAUUCCGAGUGUAGAGGUGAAAUUCGUAGAUAUUCGGAGGAACACCAGUGGCGAAGGCGGCUCACUGGCUCGAUACUGACGCUGAGGUGCGAAAGCGUGGGGAGCAAACAGGAUUAGAAACCCCAGUAGUCC
Molecule: ribosomal RNA, 425 nt
Filed under: uncultured bacterium
Lineage: Bacteria
Description: partial 16S ribosomal RNA
Rfam family: Bacterial small subunit ribosomal RNA
Source: RNAcentral